RNAcentral lists this ribosomal RNA (289 nucleotides) under uncultured bacterium. Its description in RNAcentral is "partial 16S ribosomal RNA". It matches the Rfam family "Bacterial small subunit ribosomal RNA", at positions 29 to 289 of the family's 1533-position model. The record is from RNAcentral.
AUGAACGCUGGCGGCGUGGAUAAGGCAUGCAAGUCGAACGGUUUUCUUUAUUGAAGAAGAUGCGAUUACAUCAAAUUAACAGAUAUUUUGAAAACAGUGGCGAACGAGCUAGUAACACUUUGGUACGUACCCGAAAGUUUGGUAUAGCUCGCCGAAAGGCGGGGUAAUCCCAAAUAGUCCCUUCAUCUAUCGGAUGAUAGGGUAAAGUAGCAAUACGCUUUCGGAUCGGCCUAGGUCCGAUCAGUUAGUUGGUGAGGUAAUGGCUCACCAAGACAAUGACCGGUAGGGG